GAGGUUGUGGCUCAGUGGCAGAGUGCUUGCCUAGCACGUGUGAGGCACUGGGUUUGAUUCUCAGCACCACA
This 71-nucleotide transfer RNA is filed under the name Marmota monax (woodchuck). RNAcentral describes it as "tRNA.Ala". Lineage: Eukaryota; Metazoa; Chordata; Mammalia; Rodentia; Sciuridae. The record is from RNAcentral.